RNAcentral lists this ribosomal RNA (253 nucleotides) under uncultured bacterium. Its description in RNAcentral is "partial 16S ribosomal RNA". It matches the Rfam family "Bacterial small subunit ribosomal RNA", at positions 524 to 776 of the family's 1533-position model. The record is from RNAcentral.
AACGUAGGAGACAAACGUUAUCCGGAGUUACUGGGCGUAAAGCGUGCGUAGGUGGUUCGUUAAGUCUGUCGUGAAAGCCCCGGGCUCAACCUGGGAAUGGCGAUGGAUACUGGCGAGCUAGAGUGCGGUAGAGGAGAGUGGAAUUCCCGGUGUAGCAGUGAAAUGCGUAGAGAUCGGGAGGAACAUCAGUUGCGAAGGCGGCUCUCUGGACCAGCACUGACACUGAGGCACGAAAGCGUGGGGAGCAAACAGG